GACGAACGCUGGCGGCGUGCUUAACACAUGCAAGUCGAACGGAAAGGCCCUGCUUUUGUGGGGUGCUCGUUUGGCGAACGGGUGAGUAACACGUGAGUAACAUCCCCUUGACUUUCGGAUAACUUCAGGAGACUGGGGCUAAUACCGGAUAGGAGCUCCUGCUGCAUGGUGGGGGUUGGAAAGUUUCGGCGGUUGGGGAUGGACUCGCGGCUUAUCAGCUAGUUUGUGGGGUAGUGGCUUACCAAGGCUUUGACGGGUAGCCGGCCUGGGAGGGUGACCGGCCACAUUGGGACUGAGAUACGGCGCAGACUCCUACGGGAGGCAGCGGUGGGGAAUAUUGCACAAUGGGCGGAAGCCAGAUGUAGCGACGCCGCGUGCGGGAUGACGGGCUUCGGGUUGUAAACAGAUUUCGCAUGUGAUGAGGAGUGAGUGACGGUAAUGGAUAAAGAAGCACCGGCUAACUACGUG
RNAcentral lists this ribosomal RNA (468 nucleotides) under uncultured bacterium. RNAcentral's name for it is "partial 16S ribosomal RNA". It matches the Rfam family "Bacterial small subunit ribosomal RNA", at positions 28 to 507 of the family's 1533-position model. The record is from RNAcentral.